Molecule: long non-coding RNA, 486 nt
Organism: Hirundo rustica (Barn swallow)
Lineage: Eukaryota; Metazoa; Chordata; Aves; Passeriformes; Hirundinidae
Exons: 3
Source: RefSeq, a predicted model, not a curated record
CAACAACAACAACAAAACACCCACAAAAAAAAGCAAAAAAAACCCCACCAACCUGAAGGCACAUUUGCUUUUCUCUCUUGCAGGGAAAUAUUCCCACACCCAUCCCUUGCCAGUUGCAACAUCCCAUGACAGCUCGGUGUCAGUGUCUAAGAAAGCCUACAAAGUAUCACUCCCUGUUUUAAAAAAUCAGAGGUGUGAUACCACUUAUAAGAAGGAAAGCUGGAUUUAGAUUUUGCUGUUCCUCCAGUGACUAUACCAAGAUGACAAUGUAAUUUGAUUUGUUUAAGAACAUGUAUCAACAGAGAUGAUGGAGUCACACACUCUACAGAAUUUUCGAUGUAAACUGAUGUGCAUGCAUCAGAGAAGAUACGAAGUGCAGCAAAACAAUUGUUGACUGAUGAAAAUGUAGUCUGUUUCAAUUUGAUCCAUUUAAAGCUGUUUAUGUCAUGUCAUUCAUCCUUUCCCUGACAAAUUAAAAUAAAAAUC